Molecule: long non-coding RNA, 635 nt
Filed under: Mytilus galloprovincialis (Mediterranean mussel)
Lineage: Eukaryota; Metazoa; Mollusca; Bivalvia; Mytilida; Mytilidae
Source: RNAcentral
AUAUCUUGACUUGCAUCAAGAGAUUGUCAAUGACGGUCGGUUUAGAACAAAGGUUUACAACAAUUCAGAACUUUCCCUUUAUAUGUAGCUAAACUUCCUCAGCGCAGGCAUAUGGAGUAUAUUUCCACCAGUUGAUACUGUAUUCACACAAGGAGCUUUUAAACAAAGGGUUUCAAUUGUUGAAGUUGAACUCCGAACAUCUGAAAACUGUGCGGACACCAUCAGGAGUUGGUUUAUCGUUAUUGAAUAUCUAUUUCACAGAUGACGCCAGAUAUCGUCCAAUUAAUGUAACCACACUCUCAUCCUCUAUUCUUCAAAUUGGCAUGAGCAACAUAACAAGUGGCGCAUGCAAAGUAUGAUCAGCUUCCUUCCCGGAGCACAUCCGAUCAACUUAGGAGUUUGUAGGGUUCGUUGUUGAUAUGUCGUUAGUUUUUUUAUGUUGCGUUUUGUAUACAAAUGUUUGACAUUUUCUGUGUUUUUCUUUUUCUCUUUUUUUUUGUCAUGACGUUGUCAGUUUAUUUUGCCUCAUGAGUUUGUAUGUCCCUCUUGUAUCUUUCGCAUCUCUUAUAUUACUACUGCAAUAUAUGGGCAUAUUGCAGUAUAAAUGUAAAUAUUCAUGGAACAUAGAUUUGUUG